This 253-nucleotide ribosomal RNA is filed under the name uncultured bacterium. RNAcentral describes it as "partial 16S ribosomal RNA". It matches the Rfam family "Bacterial small subunit ribosomal RNA", at positions 524 to 776 of the family's 1533-position model. The record is from RNAcentral.
UACGAAGGGGACUAGCGUUGUUCGGAUUUACUGGGCGUAAAGCGCGCGUAGGCGGAUCGCUAAGUCAGGGGUGAAAUCCCAGGGCUCAACCCUGGAACUGCCUUUGAUACUGACGAUCUGGAGAUCGGGAGAGGUUGGUGGAAUUCCGAGUGUAGAGGUGAAAUUCGUAGAGAUCCGGAGGAACACCAAAGGCGAAGGCAGUGUCCUGGGGAGUACCUGACGCUCAGGUGCGAAAGCCAGGGGAGCGAACGGG